GUCCUGGUGUUCGCUGACCCGGGAAAUCUGAAGAGGAGUUUCGCUCUCACAAAACAGGCCGUUACCGUGCUACCACGGGUCUUUUUGCAAACACGAGCGGCACAAUGCAAACUUCCGGAAAGCGAGGGAUACUCGCCCCUGGUUAUCCCGCGUGUGCUGAAAUCUGAACGUUUUAGUUGGCGACGUAGCUUUCUUUUUGUCUUUGGACAAGAUUUAGGGUAAGAAAGUGGAAACAAACUAAUGACGAUAAAUACCUGGUGCUCACCGAGAGUCGUGCACGAGCACCCUGGUGCUCACCGCUCACUUGGAGCAACCGAAACCCGGGCGGGACACAGGCUGCGCGCACGCCAGCGAGAAAGACACACACACAAACCGAUGGUCCGCUUACCUUGCUCAAGGAGUCUGCACAAAAAAUAUCUAGUGCUUGAAACACAGGGACGUGUAAAACUACGAGGCCAGGAAAUGAAGUCUAGCGAAGGAGAUCCAAGAUUAAGAAAAUGAGAGCUUCUGCUCUACUCUGACACCAAGGGCUUCUCAAUGCGGGGGCCACCUGCUGUCCCAGGGAGGGUUCUAAGACAUCUGAAGACCAUCUCAGGAUACCAGAAUGGGCCCUGCCCAAGCCUUAAUCUUAACAUUUCAAACUGUCUUCAUAUAUGGCACUAAAAACCAACCUCUGGUAUCUGGAACAAACCAUCUGACCUAUCAGUUCUGGUCACCACUACAGAACUGGACAUAGAAACGAGUACUGAGCUUGUAUUCUGAGAGCAAAGUAAAGGCCAAAAGGAAACUGGAGAAGUGCCCUGGAAAAAAUUUGGCAUUUGCUAUCCUGUCUUUGUAUUUUGUUUAUGUAUUUUUUAUCAUAUGACUUACUGCAACAGUCAGUUUCACAACACAGGAGCUGAGGAGGAGGGUACAGGGACAAAUGCAACAGGCAUUUCGUGGGUCUUCUAGAAUUACCGCAGCCUUAAGGAUUUUUACAGGUCUGCUUAGGAUUUUCGGAGUCUGAUCCCAUCUAAAACGUGCCACUUACCGAAGUUAAACAAAAUGCUCAGAUCCUAAGAAAAAAACUAAAGCCAGGUUUUUUUUUUUUUCUUUCUGAUGAAGUCUAACUUUGUGCGGCCAACUUGCCUUUUACGGAAUCACAUUUAACUUUUUAAGUUAAGUUUUCUGCCUUCCUGAAAGCCACCCUCAUAUAUACUUACAUAUUAAUUUAUAAAAGGAAAAGACUUUAGGUUACACGUUAAUUCACUGUGGCAGGAGUUCCAGACUCCACACAACAAAGUCCCUGAUUCCCCCCCCCCCCCCCACGUGGAUCUGGGGAAGGAGGGACGAGAUGACGUGUAUUUCCUCUUGUUUCCCAGAAGGUCCAACCCUAUUAAAAGAAAAACCACUGAACCCUCACAUCCAUUCUAAAAACUACAAGCUAUUAGCACUCUGAAUAGGAGAGAAACCGAAUAUAGUGAUCACUCAUAUAAAGAAAUGAUUUUGAAAAUCAAAAUGAUCAAAACCAAAACCUCCAAUUCUCACUUUCCGGGAUUUGGGAAGCCUAGGUCCACGUCACCACCAUUUCCUUCUCACACAUUUGACCAAACUUAUACUCAGUAUACCUACCAGACCCAUUACCUGGACCAGGUUAAUUGCAUAGGAAGAUUUUUUUACUAUGUUUACAUCUUUCUUAAUUUUAAAAAAGCAUAGUAAAGAGUCUGAGGACAAAUUAUUCAACUGUUUAUCAUACAUAAGACCGCAUGACUAUGAUACAAAGGGGGGUUCUUUUUCAUUUAACGUUACAAUAUACACAGCAAGUCCGGACCAGAUCUUACAAUCUGCACACAGGUAUUUAACCUUUUCCAUGCUGUUUAUGUUUUACAAUGCACAGAAGUCCUGUAACCAAACCGUGUAGUAAAGCACACAAAACUGGACUGUAACAUAACACAGUAUGCAGAAGCAUUGGAUUUUAUGAUUUCCUUUAUGUAAAUAGCGGUUUAAAAACUGCUUUCGUUUUUGGUGCUUGCUAAGAUGUGGCAACCAGCACAGAAAAAAAUGACCUGACCCAUAUAAUAUCUUCCCCUUAUAGUCCUAAACAGCAGUAACUACUGAUUCCUUUUGAUAUUGCUAUACUCAAGAUGAUAUCCUUUUAUUCACUGUAAACUUUUAUGAACUACCAAGUUCAAAAAUCAUCCACAGGCUUGACAUUUAAUUACAAAAUAAAUAUGGAUUUCCUGAUUAACAACAAAAAAAUUUUGUGGAUUAUAAAAACGGUAUUUCCAAGUUUCCAUUCACAUUCACAUAGUUUUAAGCCUUUCUUUUUGUCACUGUUUACAUAUAAAAACCUGCUUUUUGUUCAGAAAAAAUUGACCUAGUCAGCCACAUGGAAUUGACCAAUAAAAAGUAAUGUGGUGUUCUGCUGAGUUGUUUUGAACAGGGUUAUCGGCAGAGGUAGAUUACUGCUUCUUUCCUAGGCUUCUUUUGAUCCUGGACAGAUAAAUUACUUAUCUUCAUUCUCCCAAUUCAACCGCUCAAAAGUAUAACACCCUAAAAUUGGUCAAUUUAAAAUGGGAACACAAAUUUAGCAACUGCCAGACUGUGUUACAUUAAGGCAGCAUAAUCUCAAAACUAGGCACCUGUUAAACACCAGCCUGUUCACUUCAGGUCACGCAUGAGAGUUUUGCUUUACUCGUGCUCAUAUUUUGGACCUGUUGGUGCAAUCAAGGUCUUGCUUUCAAGUUUACAAGUAGGUUAAUCAGGAAUACAAGAAUCGACUGCUGGUUCCAUAGCUUCUGGAUCCAGUGUCCCUUUACCUUCAGAAGCCUGAACACAUUUAGAAUGUAACAGAUGCUGUCAUCUUGAAUUAGAUGUCAAUCGAUUAUGUUCAGAACACAGAUUGCUGUAGAUGUAUUGGCUAUGGAUUCAA
Molecule: long non-coding RNA, 2911 nt
Organism: Felis catus (domestic cat)
Lineage: Eukaryota; Metazoa; Chordata; Mammalia; Carnivora; Felidae
Exons: 2
Source: RefSeq, a predicted model, not a curated record